AACGUAGGAGCCAAGCGUUAUCCGAAUUCACUGGGCGUAAAGCGUGUGCAGGCGGACCGGUAAAGUUGGAUGUGAAAUCUCCUGGCUCAACUGGGAGAGGCCGUUCAAAACUGACGGACUAGAGGGCAACAGAGGAAGGUGGAAUUCCCGGUGUAGUGGUGAAAUGCGUAGAUAUCGGGAGGAACACCAGUGGCGAAGGCGACCUUCUGGGUUGUACCUGACGCUCAGACACGACAGCUAGGGGAGCGAACGGGAUUAGAAACCCCGGUAGUCCUAGCCGUAAACGAUGUAGACUUGGUGUUGGCGGGGUAAAAGCCGUCAGUGCCGAAGCAAACGCGAUAAGUCUACCGCCUGGGGACUACGGCCGCAAGGUUAAA
This 377-nucleotide ribosomal RNA is filed under the name uncultured bacterium. Its description in RNAcentral is "bacterial SSU rRNA". It matches the Rfam family "Bacterial small subunit ribosomal RNA", at positions 524 to 898 of the family's 1533-position model. The record is from RNAcentral.